Molecule: ribosomal RNA, 1429 nt
Filed under: Streptococcus sp.
Lineage: Bacteria; Bacillati; Bacillota; Bacilli; Lactobacillales; Streptococcaceae
Description: bacterial SSU rRNA
Rfam family: Bacterial small subunit ribosomal RNA
Source: RNAcentral
ACGGUAAUGAGUUAACGCUCCUGGCUCAGGACGAACGCUGGCGGCGUGCCUAAUACAUGCAAGUAGAACGCUGAAGAGAGGAGCUUGCUCUUCUUGGAUGAGUUGCGAACGGGUGAGUAACGCGUAGGUAACCUGCCUUGUAGCGGGGGAUAACUAUUGGAAACGAUAGCUAAUACCGCAUAACAAUGGAUGACACAUGUCAUUUAUUUGAAAGGGGCAAUUGCUCCACUACAAGAUGGACCUGCGUUGUAUUAGCUAGUAGGUGAGGUAACGGCUCACCUAGGCGACGAUACAUAGCCGACCUGAGAGGGUGAUCGGCCACACUGGGACUGAGACACGGCCCAGACUCCUACGGGAGGCAGCAGUAGGGAAUCUUCGGCAAUGGGGGCAACCCUGACCGAGCAACGCCGCGUGAGUGAAGAAGGUUUUCGGAUCGUAAAGCUCUGUUGUAAGUCAAGAACGAGUGUGAGAGUGGAAAGUUCACACUGUGACGGUAGCUUACCAGAAAGGGACGGCUAACUACGUGCCAGCAGCCGCGGUAAUACGUAGGUCCCGAGCGUUGUCCGGAUUUAUUGGGCGUAAAGCGAGCGCAGGCGGUUUGAUAAGUCUGAAGUUAAAGGCUGUGGCUCAACCAUAGUUCGCUUUGGAAACUGUCAAACUUGAGUGCAGAAGGGGAGAGUGGAAUUCCAUGUGUAGCGGUGAAAUGCGUAGAUAUAUGGAGGAACACCGGUGGCGAAAGCGGCUCUCUGGUCUGUAACUGACGCUGAGGCUCGAAAGCGUGGGGAGCGAACAGGAUUAGAUACCCUGGUAGUCCACGCCGUAAACGAUGAGUGCUAGGUGUUGGAUCCUUUCCGGGAUUCAGUGCCGCAGCUAACGCAUUAAGCACUCCGCCUGGGGAGUACGACCGCAAGGUUGAAACUCAAAGGAAUUGACGGGGGCCCGCACAAGCGGUGGAGCAUGUGGUUUAAUUCUGACAUCCCGAUGCUAUUUCUAGAGAUAGAAAGUUACUUCGGUACAUCGGUGACAGGUGGUGCAUGGUUGUCGUCAGCUCGUGUCGUGAGAUGUUGGGUUAAGUCCCGCAACGAGCGCAACCCCUAUUGUUAGUUGCCAUCAUUCAGUUGGGCACUCUAGCGAGACUGCCGGUAAUAAACCGGAGGAAGGUGGGGAUGACGUCAAAUCAUCAUGCCCCUUAUGACCUGGGCUACACACGUGCUACAAUGGUUGGUACAACGAGUUGCGAGUCGGUGACGGCAAGCUAAUCUCUUAAAGCCAAUCUCAGUUCGGAUUGUAGGCUGCAACUCGCCUACAUGAAGUCGGAAUCGCUAGUAAUCGCGGAUCAGCACGCCGCGGUGAAUACGUUCCCGGGCCUUGUACACACCGCCCGUCACACCACGAGAGUUUGUAACACCCGAACUGGAUCACCUCCUUU